This 429-nucleotide ribosomal RNA is filed under the name Bacillota bacterium. RNAcentral's name for it is "Firmicutes bacterium partial 16S ribosomal RNA". It matches the Rfam family "Bacterial small subunit ribosomal RNA", at positions 355 to 776 of the family's 1533-position model. The record is from RNAcentral. Lineage: Bacteria; Bacillati; Bacillota.
CGGGGAAUUUUGGACAAUGGGGGCAACCCUGAUCCAGCAAUGCCGCGUGUGUGAAGAAGGCCUUCGGGUUGUAAAGCACUUUUGUCCGGGAAGAAAUCGCACCUGAUAAUACCGGGUGUGGAUGACGGUACCGGAAGAAUAAGGACCGGCUAACUACGUGCCAGCAGCCGCGGUAAUACGUAGGGUCCAAGCGUUAAUCGGAAUUACUGGGCGUAAAGCGUGCGCAGGCGGUUGUGCAAGACCGAUGUGAAAUCCCCGGGCUUAACCUGGGAAUUGCAUUGGGGACUGCACGGCUAGGGUGUGGCAAGGGGGGGUAGAAUUCCACGUGUAGCAGUGAAAUGCGUAGAGAUGUGGAGGAAUACCGAUGGCGAAGGCAGCCCCCUGGGAUAACACUGACGCUCAUGCACGAAAGCGUGGGGAGCAAACAGG